CCAGCCGCCGCGGUAAUUCCGGCUCCAAUAGCGUAUAUUUGAGUUGUUGCAGUUAAAAAGCUCGUAGUUGGAUUUCGGGCGGGUGACGGCGGUCCGCCUCUGGUGUGCACUGCUGCUCAUCCGCCUUACUGUCGGGGACGGGCUCCUGGGCUUCACUGUCCGGGACCCGGGUUCGACAUGGUUACUUUGAGUAAAUUAGAGUGUUCAAAGUAGGCGUUCGCCCUGAAUACAUUAGCAUGGAAUAGCACCAUAGGACUCUGGCCUAUUCUGCUGGGCUGUAGGACCAGAGUAAUGAUUAAGAGGGACAGUCGGGGGCAUUCGUAUUUCAUUGUCAGAGGUGAAAUUCUUGGAUUUAUGAAAGACGAACUUCUGCGAAAGCAUUUGCCAAGGAUGUUUUCAUUGAUCAAGAACGAAAGU
Molecule: ribosomal RNA, 417 nt
Filed under: uncultured eukaryote
Lineage: Eukaryota
Description: SSU rRNA
Rfam family: Eukaryotic small subunit ribosomal RNA
Source: RNAcentral